UACGAGGGGGGCGAGCGUUGUUCGGAAUUAUUGGGCGUAAAGGGCGCGUAGGCGGCCUGGCAAGUGGAAGGUGAAAUCCCUCGGCUUAACCGAGGAACUGCCCUCCAAACUGCUUGGCUUGAGUCCGGGAGAGGUGGGUGGAAUUCCCAGUGUAGCGGUGAAAUGCGUAGAUAUUGGGAGGAACACCAGUGGCGAAGGCGGCUCACUGGACCGGAACUGACGCUGAGGCGCGAAAGCGUGGGGAGCAAACGGG
RNAcentral lists this ribosomal RNA (253 nucleotides) under uncultured bacterium. RNAcentral describes it as "partial 16S ribosomal RNA". It matches the Rfam family "Bacterial small subunit ribosomal RNA", at positions 524 to 776 of the family's 1533-position model. The record is from RNAcentral.